RNAcentral lists this long non-coding RNA (638 nucleotides) under Arachis ipaensis. RNAcentral describes it as "long non-coding RNA (AIPA_LNC002599)". The record is from RNAcentral. Lineage: Eukaryota; Viridiplantae; Streptophyta; Magnoliopsida; Fabales; Fabaceae.
GUUGUAUUAUUUCGUUCUUUUGACUGCAAUGGCUUGCUAUCUUAUACUUCUACCAUGUCCAUGUGUGGAUUUUCCCUUUUCUGUGGAUAACAAUAAAGCUAGCAUGAUAAAAAGAUUGAAAUAUCUUCUGGAAGCAUAGGUAGCUGUAUGCUAGUAGGUUGUACUGAUUCACAUGUUUCCUAUUAACUGAUAGUUAUAUGAUUUGCUUAAUUGCUUUAAUAACUUGCCUUUCUUGAAAGAACCUUUAAUCAUAUAUAGGAUAGGGCCUGUUUUCUCCCCGGAAGACAUGCCGGCAAACCAAUACAUCCUUCCUUUAGCAUGUACGAACUUUGUGCUGUACUUGCUUGUGUGUAUAUUUGCAUUGAUUAUCCCAGUAUACACAUUAAGAUCUCUAAUUUAGAGUAGGGGCGCUGGAAUCUUAAGGCAACUAAGCACUUUAAUGUUACCAGCUAUGGUAUAAAAUGAUUUUAAAAUUAUAUGUGCUCUCCUUUGACCAUGAACUCGAUUUAUAUUGCUUAUGAUCAUGUGAGCAAUUUAUUCUGUACCAUCCAUGAGUUUUGCUGUUGUGUAUGCCAAAUGCAUAACCUUAAAAAUUAUAUAUUAUCAAUUAGCACAUGAUCAGUUUAUCUUAAAAUCAU